AGAUAAUGAAGUAAAACUUACAUUUAGUUUCGACCUAAAAUUAGGGAUCUAAUUAUCCCCUUAUCUA
This 67-nucleotide transfer RNA is filed under the name Adrisa magna. RNAcentral describes it as "tRNA-Arg". Lineage: Eukaryota; Metazoa; Arthropoda; Insecta; Hemiptera; Cydnidae. The record is from RNAcentral.